Equus asinus (donkey) is the source of this 3014-nucleotide long non-coding RNA. NCBI's taxonomy places the organism in Eukaryota, Metazoa, Chordata, Mammalia, Perissodactyla, Equidae. The record is from Ensembl.
GGUUUGUAGCAAAUACUCAGUAAGAGUUAACCAUGAUUCUUUUAUGACUCAGAAGGUAUUAUGUAGUGGUUUCUUACAUUUUAGAGUCAUCAUUAGUUAUCUGCCUAUAAAUAUACAUAUAUAUGAAAUAAAUAUCAGGACAUACCAUAUCUAGAAAGAAUACACAUUCUUAUUGUGUGUAAUGUAUAAUUUUUUGGUCUAGGCUAAAUUGUAAAGUAUCAGUUGAUUCUUUAAGUUGGAGUUUUGCACAUAACAUGUAAUAAACAAAUGGAGAGCACACUAUUUAUUCAAUACUAAGAUGCAAUUUUUCUUCUAACAAUUCUCAAUUCUGAAAAUAACUUGUAAUCAAUGUGUAUAAAACUUUUGGUCCCCCAUUCAACAAAUAACUUGUUUUUGGAAUCAUGAAAAUAAUAUUUGGAAAUAUAUAGACACAUAUACACACACAUAUAUAUAGGUGUUAGUGCUAUGGAAUAGAUUCCGACUCCUAGCAACCCUGUGCACGGCAGAGUGGAACGCUGCCCAGUCUUUCUGCGCCAUCCUCUCAACUUCCGGCGCUAUGUCAACAAUGCUUGGUUGUUAUUCAUAGGGGUUUCAUGGCUAGUGUUUUCGAAAGUGAGAGUCCUGGUCCUUCUCCCUAGUCUGUCUUAGUCCGGAAGCUCCACCAAAACCCGUCUAGCAUGGGUGACCCUGCUGGUAUUUGAAAUACUGGUGGCAUAGCUUUCAGCAUCACAGCAACAUGCAGCCACCACAGUAUGACAACAGAAGGUAGUAUGGUUCCCUGACUGGGAAAGGAACCUGGGCCAUGGCAGUAAGAGCAAUGAACCCUAACCACUAGACUACCAGGGCUGGCUAUAUAUGAAUAUAUAUAAUCAAAUACCACCUUUUUACGUGUGUAUAUGUUUGUAUAUAAAGUGGCUUAAUUCAUAAAGAUAUUGAUACAUUUGACCAUAUGAAAAUUAAAAGACAUUUAAAGAAAAUGACAAGACCAGUCACCAAAUGGGAGAAAGUACAUGCAACACACAACUGAAGGUGAUAGCAUCAAGAAUAUAUAAAAAGUCAUACAGAUCAAUAAGAAAAAAAAUAGAAAAAUGGAAAAAAGACAGGACUAAGUAUUUCAUACAAAAGAAACACAUUUGGGGAGCUGGCCCCGUGGCCUAGUGGUUAAGUUCAGCACGCUCCACUUCAGUGGCCCGGGUUCAGUAUCCAGGCAGAGACCUACAUCACUCUUUGGAAGUAUGUUGUGGCGACAACCCACAAACAAAAAAAAAGAAGGGGCCCGCCUGGUGGCGCAGCAGUUAAGUUCGCACGUUCCGCUUCGGCGGCCUGGGGUUUGCCGGUUCAGAUCCCAGGUGCAGACCUAUGCACUGCUUGUCAAGCCAUGCUGUGGCAGGGGUCCCACAUAUAAGGUGGAGGAAAAUGGGCAUGGAUGUUAGCUCAGGGCCAGUGGUCUUCAGCAAAGAAGAAGAGGAUUGGCAGCAGAUGUUAGCUCAGGGCUAAUCUUCCUCAAAAGAACAAACAAACAAAGGAAGGCCAUGCUUAUUCAAAUGAUGAUAGUGUGUCCUGAACCAAGAAUUAUUAUUAAUCCAUUUCCAGGCAUCUGGGGUCCAGAAGAGACGGCAGCUCGUUUUAAAAGAUUAGUGGGUGAGUGCAUUAUUUGCUUUUACGACUUUCCUUGUUGUAUUUUGUGUUGUACUUGGUAUCUUAUGAGAGUUACUCCACAUAUCAUUGCCUUAUUUUUUACAGUAAAUGUCAAAAGAUAAAAUUUCACAAAAUAGAAGAGUGUUUCACAUUUUACAAAAUCUACUAUGGUGAUUGCUGCUGAGUAGGCAACGGACACCAUUGCUGAUGCCUUCAAAGACUCACCAAGUGUUUGGGGAGCUUAAUGAGAUAGCAGAAAUAGCAGACAGAUUUAAAAAACAAAAAAACUAGAGAAGCCUAUUUACUUUCUUUUUCUUUUUGCCAAUCACCUUUAUUUCCCAGAUCACAAGGUGCUGCACACGCCACGGGCUCCAGGUUCCCAGUGAGAGGUACUAAUCAGAUGGAGGAGAAUAAAGUCCACUGUCGAAUUUUAAAAAUGAAAUGUGUAUUUCCAUUUGUAGGUACAAUCAGAAAGAAAAUGUAUCACACAAAAUGGUUUUAAAAAAGACUCUAGAAGAAAGAUUUUGAAAUUCAUGAAUCUUCUAAUUAUUACUACCUACAUUUAGAUUUAAAUGCUAUAGAAAAGCACAGCUUUAGGCAUAUUAUGCUUUGCACUUAGUAAUUUUAAGUAUAAAAUUAAAAUUCGCUAUUGUGAUCAACCAAAUUCCUGGUAAUUGAACAAAGAAUAUAUAAUUUAGAGAUGUAGUAAAUGUCAAUAAAACAUCAUGGGUGACCAAUAUAUAGAACACAAAAACAGAAAGCCAGAAAUUUGAGCCAAGCUAACAAAACCAUUCAUAAUCAUGUAACUAAUUAUUCACUCUACAUAGCAUGGUCUUGACUAAUUCCAGAAAUGGAAAGGCAGAAAUGUUCUCUUCCCAGAACUUUAAGAAGAUGAUGACAACAGACUUGGCCUUGGAUCAUAAUCUCCCAACAGUGCUGUCAAGGAGUUCAGCUGAGGAGCACAUGUGCACGUUUCCUCAAUGGUCACUCCUGGAGCCACGCUUCAAGACUCAUCUGUUCUCACUCAGAGAGCUUUCUAAUUCAAGAGGAGCUAGGAGUGGGGGAUAACAAGUAGGAAAGCAGUUUAAUAAACGCUGUCGAACGUGAAAGCACACUGGCUCUGAGGUCUGCAACGUAAAACCGUGGAGGUCCUGAGGCCCGGCGGCCCACCCUGUUCUCAUUCCUUUCCUGUGCUAACGCUACACUGAAGAAAGUUUUAAUGGUUUGGAGUAAACAGAGCAAGAUUAAAAAGAAAGCUUGUAGAAAAUAGACUCUCAAAAAAUUAAAGACAAUAAUUACUACAUUAAAAAUGCCAUCAUUUGUGCCUUAAUAAUAUGACCUAUCAUAAAAAUGCCAUUUUAAUUGUUUUACCAUCU